GGAGUUGUGGCUUAGUGGUAGAGCACUCACCUAGCAUGUGUGAGGCACUGGGUUCAAUUCUAAGCACCA
RNAcentral lists this transfer RNA (69 nucleotides) under Marmota monax (woodchuck). RNAcentral's name for it is "tRNA.Ala". The stretch from base 1 to 62 matches the Rfam family "tRNA". Rfam says of the family: Transfer RNA (tRNA) molecules are approximately 80 nucleotides in length. Their secondary structure includes four short double-helical elements and three loops (D, anti-codon, and T loops). Lineage: Eukaryota; Metazoa; Chordata; Mammalia; Rodentia; Sciuridae. The record is from RNAcentral.